CUUGAUUCAUUUUUUUUAUUAAUUAAUAUUUUUAUAACUUCGACAUUAAAGACAAAAUAAAUCUUUUUAUUAUAAAGAUAAAAUUUAAAUAAAUUUUUUAUAAAGAUUAAAACUAUAAACUAUUUAUUUAUAUAGGACCAAAAAAGUUAAAUGAAUAUAUAGGAUGUAUCGGAGUGGCAGAUGAGUGUGCAAAGAUGGAGCGAAGAGGCACGGGAUUAUAUUCUCCCAACUCAAAAAGUUUUGAUACAAACAUAUGAAGAGGUAACAUGAGUUUGAUUAACAUGAAAAGGUGCAAUCUAACUUGGCAUAAAUAACUGUAGUACAAUUCAAACCCCAUAUAAUUUUUUUUUUAUCUCUUCUAUAACUAUUUAGAUGUAGAAUAAUUUAUAUAAUUUUUGUUGGGUGCUACAUAAGUUAGCAUCAGGCCAGCCGUGUCUAAAACUAAUUUUAAUAUCUCUUUAGAAGUUAUGAAAAAAAUUUAUUUAAAUGUACACCUUAAAAUAAAAAA
RNAcentral lists this long non-coding RNA (508 nucleotides) under Cicer arietinum (chickpea). RNAcentral's name for it is "long non-coding RNA (CARI_LNC001745)". The record is from RNAcentral. Lineage: Eukaryota; Viridiplantae; Streptophyta; Magnoliopsida; Fabales; Fabaceae.